RNAcentral lists this ribosomal RNA (440 nucleotides) under uncultured bacterium. RNAcentral describes it as "partial 16S ribosomal RNA". It matches the Rfam family "Bacterial small subunit ribosomal RNA", at positions 338 to 795 of the family's 1533-position model. The record is from RNAcentral.
CCUACGGGUGGCAGCAGUGGGGGAUAUUGCACAAUGGGGGGAACCCUGAUGCAGCGACGCCGCGUGGGUGAAGAAGCGCCUCGGCGCGUAAAGCCCUGUCAGCAGGGAAGAAAAUGACGGUACCUGAAGAAGAAGCCCCGGCUAACUACGUGCCAGCAGCCGCGGUAAUACGUAGGGGGCAAGCGUUAUCCGGAUUUACUGGGUGUAAAGGGGGCGCAGGCGGCGAUGCAAGCCAGGAGGGAAAGCCCGGGGGCCAACCCCGGGACUGCUCUUGGAACUGGGUGGCUGGAGUGCAGGAGGGGCAGGCGGAAUUGCUGGUGUAGCGGUGAAAUGCGUAGAUAUCAGGAGGAACACCGGUGGCGAAGGCGGCCUGCUGGACUGCAACUGACGUUGAGGCCCGAAAGCGUGGGGAGCAAACAGGAUUAGAUACCCCAGUAGUC